UAUAUAGGGUUUUGGUAACCCAGGUUAGUAUCUAAGAUAGAUACAGGUUUUUGAGACCAUAAAAGGUCUCCGGUUUAUUAUAGGGUUUUGGUAACCCAGGUUGGUAUCUAAGAUAGAUACAGGGUAUCUCAGGUAGAUACAGGUUUUUGAGACCAGAAGAGGUCUCCGGUUUAUUAAGUCUAUAGGUGUUCUGAGCAGCACGGUUUGUAGAUCUAUAAGUAUAACCCAAACUUCUCUUUCUCCCGGUCACCUUUGUUUGUCUUAAGUGUUUUUUGUGGGUGAUUGUUUGUCUAUAUUGGGGACACACUUUGGUAAGUUAGUAGUGUCCCCACUCUGAGUCAGCAGUAUGGGAAAUGUGAGUUCAUGUCCUGAGUGACCAAUAUAUGUAUGUAUAUGUGUGUGUAUGUGUAUGUAUAUAUGUAUGUAUAUAUGUGUGUGUAUAUGUAUAUAUGUGUGUGUAUAUGUAUAUGUGUAUAUAUAAGAUAGCAGUACUUUUAAACAAAUGGAGGUUUUAAAAAUACAUAGGGAUUAAGGAGAGAACGCAGGUAACUUGUUUUUCUUUGGUUUUUACCAUAUAUUGGGGCUGAUGUGUACUGUAGUCCUUGCUGCUGUCCAGUAGUGAUGGGAGUGAGCGCAGGACUUAUCUUUCUGCAAGAUAGCAGUACUGUAUAUUAG
This is a non-coding RNA of Pelobates cultripes (western spadefoot toad), 675 nucleotides long. The record is from the annotation of a GenBank genome assembly. NCBI's taxonomy places the organism in Eukaryota, Metazoa, Chordata, Amphibia, Anura, Pelobatidae.